GGAUGCGAUCAUACCAGCACUAAAGAACCGGAUCCCAUCAGAACUCCGAAGUUAAGCGUGCUUGGGCGAGACUAGUACUAGGAUGGGUGACCUCCUGGGAAGUCCUCGUGUUGCAUUCC
Molecule: ribosomal RNA, 119 nt
Filed under: Triticum aestivum (bread wheat)
Lineage: Eukaryota; Viridiplantae; Streptophyta; Magnoliopsida; Poales; Poaceae
Also listed under: 1 other name
Source: RNAcentral